Molecule: ribosomal RNA, 451 nt
Filed under: uncultured bacterium
Lineage: Bacteria
Description: bacterial SSU rRNA
Rfam family: Bacterial small subunit ribosomal RNA
Source: RNAcentral
AGCGAACGCUGGCGGCAGGCUUAACACAUGCAAGUCGAGCGGGCGUAGCAAUACGUCAGCGGCAGACGGGUGAGUAACGCGUGGGAACGUACCUUUUGGUUCGGAACAACACAGGGAAACUUGUGCUAAUACCGGAUAAGCCCUUACGGGGAAAGAUUUAUCGCCGAAAGAUCGGCCCGCGUCUGAUUAGCUAGUUGGUGAGGUAACGGCUCACCAAGGCGACGAUCAGUAGCUGGUCUGAGAGGAUGAUCAGCCACAUUGGGACUGAGACACGGCCCAAACUCCUACGGGAGGCAGCAGUGGGGAAUAUUGGACAAUGGGCGCAAGCCUGAUCCAGCCAUGCCGCGUGAGUGAUGAAGGCCCUAGGGUUGUAAAGCUCUUUUGUGCGGGAAGAUAAUGACGGUACCGCAAGAAUAAGCCCGGCUAACUUCGUGCCAGCAGCCGCGGUAAU